CAAUAGCGUAUAUUUAAGUUGUUGCAGUUAAAAAGCUCGUAGUUGGAUUUCGGGUGGGACGUAGCGGUCUCGCAUUGCGUUUGUACUGCUGCAGCCCUCCUUCUUGCCGGGGGCGGCCUCUCGGACUUCACUGUCUGGGGGUCAGAAUCGGCGAUGUUACUUUGAGUAAAUUAGAGUGUUCAAAGCAAGCUUACGCUCUGAAUAUAAUAGCAUGGGAUAACACGACAGGACUCUGGCCUAUCGUGUUGGUCUAUAGGACCAGAGUAAUGAUUAAGAGGGACAGUCGGGGGCAUUCGUAUUCCGUUGUCAGAGGUGAAAUUCUUGGAUUUACGGAAGACGAACAUCUGCGAAAGCAUUUGCCAAGGAUGUUUUCAUUGA
RNAcentral lists this ribosomal RNA (378 nucleotides) under uncultured eukaryote. Its description in RNAcentral is "partial 18S ribosomal RNA". It matches the Rfam family "Eukaryotic small subunit ribosomal RNA", at positions 592 to 976 of the family's 1831-position model. The record is from RNAcentral.